RNAcentral lists this ribosomal RNA (494 nucleotides) under uncultured bacterium. RNAcentral describes it as "partial 16S ribosomal RNA". It matches the Rfam family "Bacterial small subunit ribosomal RNA", at positions 899 to 1397 of the family's 1533-position model. The record is from RNAcentral.
ACUCAAAUGAAUUGACGGGGACCCGCACAAGCGGUGGAUGAUGUGGAUUAAUUCGAUGCAACGCGAAAAACCUUACCUACUCUUGACAUGCUGGGAAUCCUGCUGAGAGGUAGGAGUGCCUGAAAGGGAGCCCAGACACAGGUGCUGCAUGGCUGUCGUCAGCUCGUGUCGUGAGAUGUUGGGUUAAGUCCCGCAACGAGCGCAACCCUUGUCCCUAGUUGCUACGCAAGAGCACUUUAGGGAGACUGCCGGUGACAAACCGGAGGAAGGUGGGGAUGACGUCAAGUCCUCAUGGCCCUUAUGAGUAGGGCUUCACACGUCAUACAAUGGUCGGUACAGAGGGUCGCCAACCCGCGAGGGGGAGCUAAUCCUAUAAAGCCGAUCGUAGUCCGGAUUGCAGUCUGCAACUCGACUGCAUGAAGUCGGAAUCGCUAGUAAUCGCGGAUCAGCAUGUCGCGGUGAAUACGUUCCCGGGUCUUGUACACACCGCCCGU